Molecule: long non-coding RNA, 719 nt
Organism: Seriola aureovittata
Lineage: Eukaryota; Metazoa; Chordata; Actinopteri; Carangiformes; Carangidae
Exons: 3
Source: RefSeq, a predicted model, not a curated record
GGUUGUACGUUUCAAAAUAAAAAACACUAACAAAUGUAAUGAGAGUAGUACUUUUAUUUUGAAAUUAAAAUCUCUUCAGCCCUGAUCGCGUGAAGGCAAACUCACUGGCUAACUUGACACAGUUUCUUGUAGCUCACUAUGGUUACCGUAAUCCAAAUUCACCUGUUUUAUGGGGCUUCUCGACUGCCCCAGUAAAAGAAGUCCAGUAUUUUCCCUUCUGCCACAGUUGGUCUGCCUAAGAUGAGUGAUGUGCCUCAUCACCUCCAUGACCACAACUACUGGAGGAGAGAGCCCAGCAGGAGCCAGAGCAGCACCAACACCAACAGGGUAAAACACCCAACUUUCCCACCUGGGAUAAAAUGUUCAUUAGGGCUGAACAAUUAAUCAAAAUAUUAUCGAAAUCGAAAUAUGGGCAAGUGCAAGAUACAAAUCGCAGGAACUGCAAUUUUUUUGAUAAAGGUAAAAUGUGUCACAACAGACCAUAAAUGAAGCACUGUGGUGUUACAGAGAUGGCCCGGCCUACAAAUCAAAUUCGAGAGGGAACAUGCUUGGUUGGUAUAAGCCCCAACAGUAACACAUCAUCAUUAUUUAACAAUUUGACAAUGAAAUGCACAAAUGACCUGAAAUCAGAUGAAAUCGUGACUCAUGAUUUUUCGGUAUAUCAUUCAGCCCUAAUGGUCUUUUAGGGUUGAAGGAAAAUCAUCACUGUGGUGUUAUGU